UUUGAAUGUAAUAUAUUGUACCUUGUUUUGUAGAGAGGGCUUACAUAGGCUAUGCCUGUUGCCCAAUCCAAUUUAAUUUAUUUGAAUAAAAUAUUGAUUAAACCAAUAUUAGUGAGGCCCUGAACACCAAUUCAUCUUUGAAAUAAAGAAACAAGUCAUGGGUUCAACAAAUUAGUAAUAUUAAAUUCAAAUUUGAAGGACAAAUGCAUUUAUAGUAU
RNAcentral lists this long non-coding RNA (218 nucleotides) under Mytilus galloprovincialis (Mediterranean mussel). The record is from RNAcentral. Lineage: Eukaryota; Metazoa; Mollusca; Bivalvia; Mytilida; Mytilidae.